This is a long non-coding RNA of Aedes albopictus (Asian tiger mosquito), 1580 nucleotides long. RefSeq lists it as uncharacterized. The transcript has 2 exons. The record is from RefSeq and is a predicted model, not a curated record. NCBI's taxonomy places the organism in Eukaryota, Metazoa, Arthropoda, Insecta, Diptera, Culicidae.
UAAAUUUUAUAAAACGACAUUUGCGACAUACGGUAUAAAACAGGCCAUGGACUACGUAAGAUGGCAGUUCAAAAUUUCAGUAGGGAUACCACUUUAUGACAUGCGUCAGAAAUGUCAUUUUUUCACCAUCAAAACAAUCACACCGACCAUCGUCGACAAUUCGAAAAAGUUUCAGGCUAACACUUAAAACACUUAAAAUGGAAUCAGGAUUCUUCAAAGCGGAUACAAAUACGCUAACAAAAGUGGAUUUUUUCAUGGUACAGUAUUUUCUCGCUACGGAUGAGAAAUUCCGUGACUCAAAUAAGCAGGGGAAGAUCGAAAGAUCAUCAAAUCCCGAUUAUUUGAAAUCUGCGAUAGGACGAGUGCAGUUAAAAAUUGACGGAAGUCUGUGCACGGUUAAGGCAAAGAUAGUUCCAGAGCACAGAGUAACUUCAAGGCAAUAUUCCGUGGUGGACAUCAUCAAUACCGUCGAAGAACAAAUAGUCGAUGUCUUCUGUGAAAGCGAAGCUCAGGGAUGUAAGGCAGCCGCCGGGGGAUGCAAGCACGCUGUGGCGUUCGUGUUUCAUUUGUAUGAAAAAUACAGUCAAUCUUCUCCUACCGAUGGGACUUGCCUCUGAAAAGUACCAAACCUGUCAAAAGUGGAAGAAAACAUCGAUCGAUUUAAUCUUGCGAAUCAUCGGGAAUCUGGUGUGUCCAAUCGAAAUUCAAUUGUAAGUGGAAGGGCAGGUUCCUUCAAACAUUAGUGACCAAUUGCCCACCGAACACAAUUGUCAUUACGUUGAAAUAUCACCAACCGUUUCCAGAGGCAGAAGGAUAUGCUAUGCAUUGCCUCGUAGCUGAUUUUAAAGAAACAGCGGAAGCGAAGCAAAAUUCCAAACGUUUUAUUAAUUUUUGCAAACAAACUAUGUUGGAGGAUGUGUGUAAGAGAAUUAAGACUUUAACCACAGGACAAGACUGCUGGCAGUGGAAACUUCUCAAAUAUGGGCGGAUAACUGCCUCCAAGAUUUUUGAUCUGACGAGGUGUAAAACAGGUGAUGGCUCACUUGCACGAUCCGUACUUGUAUAAACUAAUUUUACUACCGAGGCCAUGAAGCGUGGAUUGCGACUGGAGAACAAAGCAGUGAAAGUUAUAAGAGCACGGUAUCAAAACGUUCGUAAGUGCGGACUUUUUUCAAAUCCAGAUUUUCCUGCAUUUGGAGCUUCUCCUAAUGCGAUCAACAGCUCGAGAGUAUUCGAGACCAAAUGUCCUUCGAAAAACGAAAAUGUUAAGUAUUAUGUCGAUGGAAACGAUCACUUACAAGACAAAGUCAAAACUCAAAUUCAUCUCCAGAUGGUUAUGACUAACCGCCAAAAAGGUGUAUUGGUAUUAGUAAAACCUGAAUUUGAAACAAGUCGAAACCCUUAUGAGCAUGUGGACUUCUAUGAGAUAGAUCUAGAUGUGGAUUACAUUGAACAGAUAAUGACAGAUAGUUACAAGUUCUGGAAAGUCAAUAUUUUUAGCAAAUUGUAUUCGUCUUUCUAAUCCUUCGAUUUUUUCAUAAUCAAUUGGUAUAUUUAAUAAAGAAAUAUUCUAAAUCAUC